Molecule: ribosomal RNA, 482 nt
Filed under: uncultured bacterium
Lineage: Bacteria
Description: partial 16S ribosomal RNA
Rfam family: Bacterial small subunit ribosomal RNA
Source: RNAcentral
AUUGAACGCUGGCGGCAUGCCUUACACAUGCAAAUCGAACGGUAACGGGCCUUCGGGUGCCGACGAGUGGCGAACGGGUGAGUAAUACAUCGGAACGUGCCCGAUCGUGGGGGAUAACGAGGCGAAAGCUUUGCUAAUACCGCAUACGAUCUACGGAUGAAAGCAGGGGACCGCAAGGCCUUGCGCGGACGGAGCGGCCGAUGGCAGAUUAGGAAGUUGGUGGGAUAAAAGCUUACCAAGCCGACGAUCUGUAGCUGGUCUGAGAGGAUGAUCAGCCACACUGGGACUGAGACACGGCCCAGACUCCUACGGGAGGCAGCAGUGGGGAAUUUUGGACAAUGGGCGCAAGCCUGAUCCAGCCAUGCCGCGUGCAGGAUGAAGGCCUUCGGGUUGUAAACUGAUUUUGUACGGAACGAAAAGCCUUCUUUUAAUACAGGAGGGUCAUGACGGUACCGUAAGAAUAAGCACCGGCUAACUACGUG